GGUUUCUUGUUAAUGAUAAGAGAUUUGGCCUGCCCACUGAAUAAUUUUUUGAAGGGCCGCAGUAUUUUGACUGUGCAAAGGUAGCAUAAUCAUUAGUCUUUUAAUUAAGGGCUGGUAUGAAUGGUUGGACGAGGUAAGUACUAUUUUAUGUUAAUUGUUAUUGAAUUUAGUAUUUAAGUAAAAAUACUUAAAUUGAAUUAAGGGACGAGAAGACCCUAUAGAGUUUAAUAUAUAUAGUUUUGAUUGAGUUAAGAAGUAAUUUUUGGUUAGUUAUGAAAUAUAUUUGAUUGGGGUGAUAAGAAGAUAAAUUUAACUCUUUUUUGUAAUAUAUAAUUUAUUUAGUUUAAUGAUCCAUUAUUUGGUGAUUAUAAGAUUAAAUUACCUUAGGGAUAACAGCAUAAUUCUUUUUGAGAGUUCAUAUUGAAAAAGGAGAUUGUGACCUCGAUGUUGGAUUAAGAUAAAGUUUAGGUGCAGGAGCUUAAUUAUUAGGUCUGUUCGACCUUUAAAUUCUUACA
RNAcentral lists this ribosomal RNA (515 nucleotides) under Bolbena sp. MN292. Its description in RNAcentral is "partial 16S ribosomal RNA". It matches the Rfam family "Bacterial large subunit ribosomal RNA", at positions 1832 to 2600 of the family's 2925-position model. Lineage: Eukaryota; Metazoa; Arthropoda; Insecta; Mantodea; Nanomantidae. The record is from RNAcentral.